ACGCUCGACACCUACGGGAAGCAGCAGUGGGGAAUAUUGCACAAUGGGGGAAACCCUGAUGCAGCGACGCCGCGUGGAGGAAGAAGGUCUUCGGAUUGUAAACUCCUGUUGUUGGGGAAAAAGAGGAUGGUACCCAACAAGGAAGUGACGGCUAACUACGUGCCAGCACGCCGCGGUAAUCUGAGGCGGGCUGGACAAGGC
This 201-nucleotide ribosomal RNA is filed under the name uncultured bacterium. RNAcentral describes it as "partial 16S ribosomal RNA". It matches the Rfam family "Bacterial small subunit ribosomal RNA", at positions 326 to 539 of the family's 1533-position model. The record is from RNAcentral.